Molecule: ribosomal RNA, 157 nt
Filed under: uncultured bacterium
Lineage: Bacteria
Description: partial 16S rRNA
Rfam family: Bacterial small subunit ribosomal RNA
Source: RNAcentral
UAGGGAAUCUUCCGCAAUGGGCGCAAGCCUGACGGAGCAACGCCGCGUGAGUGAUGAAGGUUUUCGGAUCGUAAAGCUCUGUUGCCAGGGAAGAACGUCCGGUAGAGUAACUGCCGGAGUGACGGUACCUGAGAAGAAAGCCCCGGCUAACUACGUG